UUUUUCUGGCUUUAGUGUUACUUCCUGAGAAUGGAGAAUCAUGUUGACAUAAUAAAAAUGAAUAUGAUCAAAUUCAUAAUUAUGCUAAACCUAAGUUUGUAACUAACUGCAUGAUGUUUUAUUAACUGGCUCCAAAAUGGGAAAAUCUUAGCAUUAUUAUUAAUUGGACAUACAGUAUAUUUACAGCAUCAUGCAUGAAGAUGAACAGUGCACUUGGACAUAUGCAAGUGGACACACAAGAACGUUAGGCCUAUGGUCACUCCAGUAAGAACCACAGAGAUUUAGUGUAGGCUUCUGACUCUACCACUCUGACCUUGGCUGGCUGGUCUACCCUAACUAAUCUGGAGUUAUAAGGUGGCUCACAUUUCAGUCGCAGUAGGCAUUCUGCACAAAAGGUAAAUGGAAAAGGAUACCAGACCCUUCGUGACAGAGAAAUAUUAAUAACACUUUCCUCACCCAAAUUAUAAUCCAGUAAUCCUAUCUUAAUUUACUAAAAAGAUUACCCCAGAAUAUUAUUUUAUUAUUGUUCUUUCUUUAAGUCCAAUAUACCAAACCCCGAACUAUUUUUAUACUGAAUUCUGUGAGUCCCUUGAUAAUAAAAAGUGUGUUUUAUUUAUUCUUUGGCUGGCACUCUUUCUUAAUUAAUAUAACAAAUGUUUAUCAGAAUUAUGUGCACAUCAAUGCCCAUGUUUCUACUGUAGUCAGUGGUCAUUGUACUGGGGAAGUUACCUAAAGGAAAAUGGUUUAUUAAUCUGAUAGUAAUCUAAUAAAAUAUUACUGAGCCUCCAAGAGAAAUCUUUUAAAUAGAUUUGAACUAGUGAAUAUAAUUCAGAAUACAGAAAGAAAAAUAAGCUCUCUCUUUUAGCCCUGGAAGUCAGAAAUUUUUGCCAGAUUGGUCAAUUCUACCUGGUCUUUCCUGAUUGUUCUAGAAAGGGAGGUAAUGAGAGAGGCUGGAGAGUAUAUAAAU
Molecule: long non-coding RNA, 967 nt
Organism: Phyllostomus discolor (pale spear-nosed bat)
Lineage: Eukaryota; Metazoa; Chordata; Mammalia; Chiroptera; Phyllostomidae
Exons: 2
Source: RefSeq, a predicted model, not a curated record